This 601-nucleotide ribosomal RNA is filed under the name uncultured bacterium. RNAcentral describes it as "bacterial SSU rRNA". It matches the Rfam family "Bacterial small subunit ribosomal RNA", at positions 300 to 916 of the family's 1533-position model. The record is from RNAcentral.
GUGGCCCCCCACAAUGGAACUGAAACACGGUCCAUACACCUACGGGUGGCAGCAGUAGGGAAUAUUGCACAAUGGGCGAAAGCCUGAUGCAGCAACGCCGCGUGUGCGAUGAAGGCCUUCGGGUCGUAAAGCACUUUUCUGAGAGAUGAGAAAGGACAGUAUCUCAGGAAUAAGUCUCGGCUAACUACGUGCCAGCAGCCGCGGUAACACGUAGGAGGCGAGCGUUAUCCGGAUUCACUGGGCGUAAAGCGCGUGCAGGCGGUUUGGUAAGUUGAUCGUGAAAGCUCCCGGCUCAACUGGGAGAGGUCGUUCAAUACUACCAAACUAGAGAGUAGAAGAGGAAAAUGGAAUUCCCGGUGUAGUGGUGAAAUGCGUAGAUAUCGGGAGGAACACCAGUGGCGAAGGCGAUUUUCUGGUCUAUUUCUGACGCUCAGACGCGACAGCUAGGGUAGUAAACGGGAUUAGAGACCCCGGUAAUCCUAGCCGUAAACGAUGUGAACUUGGCGUCGGUGGCUUAAACACCAUCGGUGCCGAAGCAAACGCGAUAAGUUCACCGCCUGGGGACUACGGCCGCAAGGUUAAAACUCAAAGGAAUUGACGG